RNAcentral lists this small nuclear RNA (85 nucleotides) under Cervus elaphus hippelaphus. RNAcentral's name for it is "U2 spliceosomal RNA". It matches the Rfam family "U2 spliceosomal RNA". Rfam says of the family: U2 is a small nuclear RNA (snRNA) component of the spliceosome (involved in pre-mRNA splicing). Complementary binding between U2 snRNA (in an area lying towards the 5' end but 3' to hairpin I) and the branchpoint sequence (BPS) of the intron results the bulging out of an unpaired adenosine, on the BPS, which initiates a nucleophilic attack at the intronic 5' splice site, thus starting the first of two transesterification reactions that mediate splicing. Lineage: Eukaryota; Metazoa; Chordata; Mammalia; Artiodactyla; Cervidae. RNAcentral also lists the same sequence under 1 other name. The record is from Rfam by way of RNAcentral.
AUUGCUUCUCGGCCUUUUGGCUAAGAUCAAGUGUAGUAUAGCACACAUCCAUAACUUACCAAACAAUUUUUUAACUUCACCAUCU